AGUGAACGCUGGCGGUAGGCCUAACACAUGCAAGUCGAACGGCAGCACAGUAAGAGCUUGCUCUUACGGGUGGCGAGUGGCGGACGGGUGAGGAAUACAUCGGAAUCUACUUUUUCGUGGGGGAUAACGGAGGGAAACUUACGCUAAUACCGCAUACGACCUACGGGUGAAAGCAGGGGAUCUUCGGACCUUGCGCGAUUGAAUGAGCCGAUGUCGGAUUAGCUAGUUGGCGGGGUAAAGGCCCACCAAGGCGACGAUCCGUAGCUGGUCUGAGAGGAUGAUCAUCCACACUGGAACUGAGACACGGUCCAGACUCCUACGGGAGGCAGCAGUGGGGAAUAUUGGACAAUGGGCGCAAGCCUGAUCCAGCCAUACCGCGUGGGUGAAGAAGGCCUUCGGGUUGUAAAGCCCUUUUGUUGGGAAAGAAAAGCAGCAGGUUAAUACCCCGCUGUUCUGACGGUACCCAAAGAAUAAGCACCGGCUAACUUCGUG
RNAcentral lists this ribosomal RNA (492 nucleotides) under uncultured bacterium. Its description in RNAcentral is "partial 16S ribosomal RNA". It matches the Rfam family "Bacterial small subunit ribosomal RNA", at positions 29 to 507 of the family's 1533-position model. The record is from RNAcentral.